Long non-coding RNA from Lotus japonicus, 598 nucleotides. RefSeq lists it as uncharacterized. The record is from RefSeq and is a predicted model, not a curated record. The transcript has 3 exons. Lineage: Eukaryota; Viridiplantae; Streptophyta; Magnoliopsida; Fabales; Fabaceae.
UUCUGAAAACUGCAAUUUUCUCUUUUUAUGAAUGGUAUGUGGAGGAGGAAUUCUGGUUUUGUUCCAUUGCUGGUGUUGUUACAGGAUGGUUUGGUCACGUUUUUAUGGGUGUUCCAAAGUUUGUAAGGCCAUAAGUUUUAUUGGAUUUUACCAUAAUUUCUUUUAGAUUUAACUUCAAAUAGACAGUUUGUUGCUAGAUUAACUAAUCUAUUUUUUGUUUUGUUUUUGGUUUUUUAGCUUCAAACUGACAGUAUUGGGUUUGAUUCCUAUUGGGUUAAUGCAGUACGGGGACACUUCCCUUUGGAAGCAGAGGCAUAAUGACCAUGGGAUUGUCUUUCAUAUAAGGUGCUGGAUAUUCAUUAAUUCACUGCUGAAAUUGACUCCAAGUAACUUCCCAAAGGUGAAUGGAGGAAAGAAAUAGAAUCUGUUGUCGGCAAGUAAUAUAAGAAGGAAAGAUAGAGAGAGGGCAAGUGAUAUAAAGGUUUUUUGGUGGAUGAGAGUAUGAAUGAGUUGCAAACUCUUUUACAUGGUUUUUAAAUUUCUCCCGCAAAUGGUCACUUGUUGAUGCUCUUAAGUCAAAUACUUUGAUCUUUUGCCU